GACGAACGCUGGCGGCGUGCUUAACACAUGCAAGUCGAACGGAAAGGCCCUGCUUGCAGGGUACUCGAGUGGCGAACGGGUGAGUAACACGUGGGUGAUCUGCCCUGCACUUCGGGAUGAGCCUGGGAAGCUGGGUCUAAUACCGGAUAGGAGCCAUUUUUAGUGUGAUGGUUGGAAAGUUUUUUCGGUGUAGGAUGAGCUCGCGGCCUAUCAGCUUGUUGGUGGGGUAAUGGCCUACCAAGGCGGCGACGGGUAGCCGGCCUGAGAGGGUGGACGGCCACAUUGGGACUGAGAUACGGCCCAGACUCCUACGGGAGGCAGCAGUGGGGAAUAUUGCACAAUGGGCGCAAGCCUGAUGCAGCGACGCCGCGUGGGGGAUGACGGCCUUCGGGUUGUAAACUCCUUUCGCUAGGGACGAAGCUUUUUGUGACGGUACCUAGAUAGGAAGCACCGGCUAACUACGUG
Molecule: ribosomal RNA, 465 nt
Filed under: uncultured bacterium
Lineage: Bacteria
Description: partial 16S ribosomal RNA
Rfam family: Bacterial small subunit ribosomal RNA
Source: RNAcentral